Anas platyrhynchos (mallard) is the source of this 722-nucleotide long non-coding RNA. RefSeq lists it as uncharacterized. The record is from RefSeq and is a predicted model, not a curated record. NCBI's taxonomy places the organism in Eukaryota, Metazoa, Chordata, Aves, Anseriformes, Anatidae.
UAUUUUUACUUUUAAUUUUUACUUUAAACAUAAAGAACGUGUGGUAGAAACUCGAGUAAUUAAUUAUCAAGGAAACUUGUGGGUCAAUAACCCAAGCUCUGUUCUUAACGAGCCAGGCGCCCAGCACGCACUUACAGAAACCAGCCUCAGCCCCUGCGGCGCCCAGAGGGGGAGAGGAGCGCCGCGUCUCCCGCGUGGAGGUGUUGUCCGUAGGCUGCACGAACUUGGCUCGCAGUCAUUCUCCACAGGGAAUGUGUAAUUCUCCACAGAAAUUCUCCACGCUUGCCCCCUCACAGCGCGGUGGUUUCUCAGCGCUCGCACCGAUUGAAAGCGCCGUAAGGAGACACGGGUGGCUGCAGCCGUGGGUAGGGAGCGUGGAACAGCUGCCCAGCGCCUCCCGGACAGAACUGCAGGGGUACAGCACAAGGCUUACUCCUGGCCUUUGGUCCACGCAGAAAACAGCAGUUGUUGCCUUCGAACAAAAACAUUACCUCUGCAUUUAAUAACAAAUAAAGUAGAUAAAUCGGCUUUGCUUUUAGCUCUGGACUUUGCUGUGUCAAUCCUGUGCAAGCCUUGGGAGCGGUCCGGUCCCUGUGCUCCCUGUGCCUCAGGAAGCACACACGGCUCUCCUCUAUCCACAGUUACAGACGCUGCUUUGGAAAUACCUUGUUAAGAUGUAAAUUACAAACUCAAUUAAAGCGAAUUUAAUCCUCCAGCAAAAA